This 425-nucleotide ribosomal RNA is filed under the name uncultured bacterium. RNAcentral describes it as "partial 16S ribosomal RNA". It matches the Rfam family "Bacterial small subunit ribosomal RNA", at positions 354 to 796 of the family's 1533-position model. The record is from RNAcentral.
GUGGGGAAUCUUAGACAAUGGGGGAAACCCUGAUCUAGCCAUGCCGCGUGAUCGAUGAAGGCCUUAGGGUUGUAAAGAUCUUUCAGCUGGGAAGAUAAUGACGGUACCAGCAGAAGAAGCCCCGGCUAACUCCGUGCCAGCAGCCGCGGUAAUACGGAGGGGGCUAGCGUUGUUCGGAAUUACUGGGCGUAAAGCGCACGUAGGCGGACUGAAAAGUUGGGGGUGAAAUCCCGGGGCUCAACCUCGGAACUGCCUUCAAAACUAUCAGUCUGGAGUUCGAGAGAGGUGAGUGGAAUUCCGAGUGUAGAGGUGAAAUUCGUAGAUAUUCGGAGGAACACCAGUGGCGAAGGCGGCUCACUGGCUCGAUACUGACGCUGAGGUGCGAAAGCGUGGGGAGCAAACAGGAUUAGAUACCCGAGUAGUCC